This 72-nucleotide transfer RNA is filed under the name Camelus bactrianus (Bactrian camel). It matches the Rfam family "tRNA". Rfam says of the family: Transfer RNA (tRNA) molecules are approximately 80 nucleotides in length. Their secondary structure includes four short double-helical elements and three loops (D, anti-codon, and T loops). RNAcentral also lists the same sequence under 1 other name. Lineage: Eukaryota; Metazoa; Chordata; Mammalia; Artiodactyla; Camelidae. The record is from Rfam by way of RNAcentral.
GGAGUUAUAGCUCAGUGGUAGAGUGCAUGCUUAGCAUGCAGAAGGUCCUGGGUUCAAUCCCCGGUACCUCCA